AUGUUAAUUAUCGACAUGGACCUAUCGAUACCAACGACUGCGGGUUGACUGUCCGAGACAGUUCGCAAUACAUGAUUACCACCGUAAUCCAUGCAAGUAAUUGUCCUUAACAACCCCCGAGUGAACGGGUGCUGAGUCCAAACUAUAGUACUACGUUGCUAAGGCAGGUAGACAGCAUUCCAUGUGUAAACAUAACAACAAGCAUACAUUUAGUCACGUAAUACAUGCAAUCGCGUUCAAAUAGUUUGAAUAGUGUGUUCGAUUGUGAUUUUGAUAAGUAACGUAUGUAACACCCAAAAGUGCUAAAGCAAAAAGGGAUUCGAGUAUACUCACAGUGAUUGAUUAUGGAUUGAAGGGAGCGCUGAGAGUAGGGUUAGCCUGAAUAGUUCGAUAGCAUAAUGAUGAGUAACGCGGAAAUGUAAACAAGUGUGAAUGGAUCGGAUAGCCUGGUCGAUCGAACAGCAGGUUCGAUCGAACGGGCUGUUCGAUCGGCUUGAAAGUCCGUUUAAACAGUCCUGUUCGAUCGGCCGGUAGGCUCGAUCGGCUGGGCCAUUCGAGUGGAUUGUUUCU
This 570-nucleotide long non-coding RNA is filed under the name Helianthus annuus (common sunflower). The record is from RNAcentral. Lineage: Eukaryota; Viridiplantae; Streptophyta; Magnoliopsida; Asterales; Asteraceae.